This 90-nucleotide non-coding RNA is filed under the name Pseudomonas sp. OV226. Lineage: Bacteria; Pseudomonadati; Pseudomonadota; Gammaproteobacteria; Pseudomonadales; Pseudomonadaceae. The record is from RNAcentral.
GUAGGAGCCGAGCUUGCUCGCGAUAGCGGUAUGUCAGCCAGCAUGACUGUUGACUGACACACCGCUAUCGCGAGCAAGCUCGGCUCCUAC